This 253-nucleotide ribosomal RNA is filed under the name uncultured bacterium. RNAcentral's name for it is "partial 16S ribosomal RNA". It matches the Rfam family "Bacterial small subunit ribosomal RNA", at positions 524 to 776 of the family's 1533-position model. The record is from RNAcentral.
UACGAAGGGGGCUAGCGUUGCUCGGAAUCACUGGGCGUAAAGCGCACGUAGGCGGCUUUCUAAGUCAGGGGUGAAAUCCUGGAGCUCAACUCCAGAACUGCCUUUGAUACUGGAGAGCUAGAGUCCGGAAGAGGUGAGUGGAACUGCGAGUGUAGAGGUGAAAUUCGUAGAUAUCGCAAGAACACCAGUGGCGAAGGCGGCUCACUGGUCCGGUACUGACGCUGAGGUGCGAAAGCGUGGGGGAGCAAACAGG